Molecule: ribosomal RNA, 502 nt
Filed under: uncultured bacterium
Lineage: Bacteria
Description: partial 16S ribosomal RNA
Rfam family: Bacterial small subunit ribosomal RNA
Source: RNAcentral
GAUGAACGCUAGCGGCAGGCUUAAUACAUGCAAGUCGAGGGGCAGCAGGGUGUAGCAAUACAUCGCUGGCGACCGGCAAACGGGUGCGGAACACGUACGCAAUCUUCCCAAAACUGAUGAAUAGCCCUCCGAAAGGAGGAUUAAUACAUCGUAACAUAAUGAAGUGGCAUCACUUUAUUAUUAUAGCUCCGGCGGUUUUGGAUGAGCGUGCGUCUGAUUAGGUGGUUGGCGGGGUAACGGCCCACCAAGCCUACGAUCAGUAACUGGUGUGAGAGCACGACCAGUCACACGGGCACUGAGACACGGGCCCGACUCCUACGGGAGGCAGCAGUAAGGAAUAUUGGUCAAUGGACGCAAGUCUGAACCAGCCAUGCCGCGUGGAGGAUGAAGGCCCUCUGGGUUGUAAACUUCUUUUAUCUGGGACGAAACCUGACCAUCCCUGGUCAGCUGACGGUACCAGAGGAAUAAGCACCGGCUAACUCCGUGCCAGCCGCCGCAGUAA